Molecule: non-coding RNA, 46 nt
Organism: Schistosoma margrebowiei
Lineage: Eukaryota; Metazoa; Platyhelminthes; Trematoda; Strigeidida; Schistosomatidae
Source: Rfam
ACACUGGUGAAGAGUCCCAUACUAGGACGAAACGGCCGUCCAGUGC